UCGAGAAUCAUUCGCAAUGGGCGAAAGCCUGACGGUGCGACGUCGCGUGGAGGAUGAAGGUCUUCGGAUUGUAAACUCCUGUCAUGAGGGAUAAAUGGCCAGGGCACGAAUAGUGCCUUGGAAUGAUAGUACCUCAGGAGGAAGAGACGGCUAACUCUGUGCCAGCAGCCGCGGUAAUACAGAGGUCUCGAGCGUUGUUCGGAUUUACUGGGCGUAAAGGGAGCGUAGGCGGUUCGGUGUGUUGAAUGUGAAAUCCCACAACUCAACUGUGGAAUGGCAUUCAAAACUACCGGGCUAGAGUACUGGAGAGGAGAGCGGAAUUCUUGGUGUAGCGGUGAAAUGCGUAGAUAUCAAGAGGAACACCGGUGGCGAAGGCGGCUCUCUGGACAGAUACUGACGCUGAGGCUCUAAAGUUAGGGGAGCAAACA
This 428-nucleotide ribosomal RNA is filed under the name uncultured prokaryote. Its description in RNAcentral is "bacterial SSU rRNA". It matches the Rfam family "Bacterial small subunit ribosomal RNA", at positions 355 to 774 of the family's 1533-position model. The record is from RNAcentral.